UACGUAGGGUGCGAGCGUUAAUCGGAAUUACUGGGCGUAAAGCGUGCGCAGGCGGUUUUGUAAGCCAGAUGUGAAAUCCCCGGGCUUAACCUGGGAAUGGCAUUUGGGACUGCAAGGCUCGAGUGCGGCAGAGGAGACUGGAAUUCCUGGUGUAGCAGUGAAAUGCGUAGAUAUCAGGAGGAAUACCGAUGGCGAAGGCAGGUCUCCGGGCUGACACUGACGCUCAUGCACGAAAGCGUGGGGAGCAAACAGG
Molecule: ribosomal RNA, 253 nt
Filed under: uncultured bacterium
Lineage: Bacteria
Description: partial 16S ribosomal RNA
Rfam family: Bacterial small subunit ribosomal RNA
Source: RNAcentral